AGGUUUUAUGAAUAUUAAUACAUUUUCACAGCAUUCCCUGCUGCCUACUUCAUAAAGGCUGUUGUCGGGGCAACCAAGUCUAUUAUGACGCCACAUAGCGAGUAUAUAUAUUUUAGUGUGCUGCGCAGUUUUCUGUUAUAACGACUUUGAUCGCAUCAUGGCAGAAUAUCAGACGGCUCAAGAUCUGCAAAGCUGACAACAGUAAGGACCACUGUAUCUGGUGUGGCUGAAGCUAAGACCAGGCAGACACACUGGAUACAUCGCCUAAUGGGGAGGAUCUCAAGAACUGUCAGGAAGAUCUACACCGGAAGCCGAACUCUCUGCAAAAGAUGUCAGAGCUCUUUCUCACAGAGGAUAAGCUCCAUGUUU
Non-coding RNA from Electrophorus electricus (electric eel), 369 nucleotides. Lineage: Eukaryota; Metazoa; Chordata; Actinopteri; Gymnotiformes; Gymnotidae. The record is from RefSeq and is a predicted model, not a curated record.